Molecule: long non-coding RNA, 746 nt
Organism: Populus trichocarpa (black cottonwood)
Lineage: Eukaryota; Viridiplantae; Streptophyta; Magnoliopsida; Malpighiales; Salicaceae
Exons: 3
Source: RefSeq, a predicted model, not a curated record
CUGAGGGCAAGAGCAGCUGUGAGGGGGCAACCGUGGAUGUAAGAGGCGAGGUUCUGGGUUGUGUUGGAUUUUUUGUUGAUGGGAGCAUUGGUGUUUAACUUCAGAACUCUGAAACAGUUUCAGCCCUUAUUCUCAAAACUCUAUGUUGCGGUUUUGUUCUAAAGGUGACCAGAACGUUAUACAGCCCGGGAACUUGCUAAAAGUAAUCUGUGAAUCUCUGCAAAACUUCAAGUUUCUUAUUCGGCUUCUCUUCAAGGCCCAUGCUAUUGUAGACUCCGUUUCAUCUUUGAUAGCUGCUACAGUUCAACCUUUGUUCUCUCUGUCUUCAGAGGUUUAAUUUCUAGUGCUAUCUACUGGAGUGGAAGUACAGCGGCGGUGCAGUUUCACAGGAAUCCGUGUUUUGUGUGCUCCAUGGUGGUCAUUUACAUGAGAGCUGAAAAUAGAAUGAUCCCCAGAUACUCUCUAAGCUCGGAGAAACCGUGUCGUUUCUUUCCAUUUGUGUACAGAGUUGAGCUUAGCUUUCCAGCCUUCCUUAUAUUGAGGAAAGUUUUAUUAACAUGAUUGCAUAAUGUUUUGUGGCCAAAAGCACUUAUUUGUUGAGGCGAAACUGAUCCAAUUCGGAGUUGUUGAUGUUUAUACCGAUCGAUCAUAGAAGAAAAAUUCUGAUUCAUUCCGAUUAAACUUCCUUCCUAUUAAUCUGGAAGUUCUUCUCAGAUAUAAGGAAAUGUUUCAGUUCCAGAGCCAAA